This 764-nucleotide long non-coding RNA is filed under the name Junco hyemalis (dark-eyed junco). RNAcentral's name for it is "lncRNA (ENSJHYG00000002475.1)". Lineage: Eukaryota; Metazoa; Chordata; Aves; Passeriformes; Passerellidae. The record is from RNAcentral.
UUGCCCUUUUCUGCCUUUUUUGAACCCAAAACAGCGGCGGAUUUUGAGUUUUCGCUGCUUUUUUUUCACACCUGCAGCACACAAAAGGCAGAGUUGGUAAAACACGUUUGGAACAACAAAAUCCCCCCAAACACCCCCAAAAUACUCACCUGGAGACCCCAAAAAUUCAAUUUUUCACCCAAAAACCGGCGGCUGAACCACCAGAAAUUCUCUUUUUUUUGGCUUUUUUUUACCAAUUUUUCCCUGAGUUUUCAACCAUUUUUUCACCUUUUUUUGGCUUUUCUUCACCAAUUUUAUCCUGAUUUUUUAUCCAUUUUUUCACCUUUUUUUACCGAUUUUUCCCUGAUUUUUUAACCAUUUUUUCACCUUUUUUUUUUGCAUUUUUUUAACUCUUUUUAUCUAUGUUUCUUCUUUUCUGAAAUUUCUGAACCAUUUUUACCUUUUUUGCAUUCAUUUCACCAUUUCCCAAAUCUUUUCUUGGCAUUUUUUCCCAUUUUCUCUUUUUUUUUUUGCAUUUUUACCCAAUUUUCCCCUCAUUUUUUGAAUUUUCCAAACCAUUUUUCCCCAUUUUGGGGCCUUUUUUUUCCCAUUUUUUACCCUUUUCUCAUUUUAUUUUAAAGUAAUUUUUUAUUUUUUACCUUUUUCAUUUUAUUUUGCAUUUUUAACCGAAUCUUCCUUUUUUUUCCAUUUUUCAACCCACAUUUCCCUUUUUUCUGCAUUUUUUCACCAUUUUUGUACCAUUUUCCCCCUUUUUUUACCAUUUU